Molecule: ribosomal RNA, 415 nt
Filed under: uncultured bacterium
Lineage: Bacteria
Description: bacterial SSU rRNA
Rfam family: Bacterial small subunit ribosomal RNA
Source: RNAcentral
UGGGGAAUAUUGCACAAUGGGGGAAACCCCGAUGCAGCGACGCCGCGUGGAGGAAGAAGGUCUUCGGAUUGUAAACUCCUGUUGUUGGGGAAAAGAAGGAUGGUACCCAACAAGGAAGUGACGGCUAACUACGUGCCAGCAGCCGCGGUAAAACGUAGGUCACAAGCGUUGUCCGGGAAUUACUGGGUGUAAAGGGAGCGCAGGCGGGUAUGCAAGUUGGAAGUGAAAUACAUGGGCUCAACCCAUGAACUGCUUUCAAAACUGUGUAUCUUGAGUAGUGCAGAGGUAGGCGGAAUUCCCGGUGUAGCGGUGGAAUGCGUAGAUAUCGGGAGACACCAGUGGCGAAGGCGGCCUACUGGGCACCAACUGACGCUGAGGCUCGAAAGUGUGGGUAGCAAACAGGAUUAGAUACCCG